This 507-nucleotide ribosomal RNA is filed under the name uncultured Glomeromycotina. RNAcentral describes it as "partial small subunit ribosomal RNA". It matches the Rfam family "Eukaryotic small subunit ribosomal RNA", at positions 591 to 1092 of the family's 1831-position model. The record is from RNAcentral. Lineage: Eukaryota; Fungi; Glomeromycota.
CCAAUAGCGUAUAUUAAAGUUGUUGCAGUUAAAAAGCUCGUAGUUGAAUUUCGGGAUUGACGUAAUGGUCAUGCCUUAAGGGGUAUGAACUGUUACUGUUGAUUUCUCACCUUCUGGAGAAACUUGAUGUCCUUUAUUGGGUGUCUUGCGGAUCCAGGACCUUUACCUUGAAAAAAUUAGAGUGUUUAAAGCAGGCAUUUUUGCUCGAAUACAUUAGCAUGGAAUAAUAGAAUAGGACGGCAUGGUUCUAUUUUGUUGGUUUCUAGGAUCACCGUAAUGAGUAAUAGGGAUAGUUGGGGGCAUUAGUAUUCAAUUGUCAGAGGUGAAAUUCUUGGAUUUAUUGAAGACUAACUACUGCGAAAGCAUUUGCCAAGGAUGUUUUCAUUAAUCAAGAACGAAAGUUAGGGGAUCGAAGACGAUCAGAUACCGUCGUAGUCUUAACCAUAAACUAUGCCGACUAGGAAUCAGACGAUGUUAAUUUUUUAAUGACUCGUUUGGCACCUUACG